This 465-nucleotide ribosomal RNA is filed under the name uncultured bacterium. Its description in RNAcentral is "partial 16S ribosomal RNA". It matches the Rfam family "Bacterial small subunit ribosomal RNA", at positions 28 to 507 of the family's 1533-position model. The record is from RNAcentral.
GACGAACGCUGGCGGCGUGCUUAACACAUGCAAGUCGUACGGUAAGGCCCUUUCGGGGGUUCACGAGUGGCGCACGGGUGAGUAAUACGUGAGUACCCUGCCAACCACGUUGGAAUAACGCUAGAAAACUGGUGCUAAUACUGGAUAUGUGCUCCUGCUGCAUGGUGGGGGUUGGAAAGCUCCGGCGGUUGUGGAUGGCCUCGCGGCCUAUCAGCUUGUUGGUGGGGUAGUGGCCUACAAAGGCGGCGACGGGUAGCCGGCCUGAGAGGGUGACCGGCCACAUUGGGACUGAGAGACGGCCCAGACGCCGACGGGAGGCAGCAGUGGGGAAGAUUGCACAAGGGGCGCAAGCCGGAUGCAGCAGCGCCGCGGGCGGGAUGACGGCCUUGGGGUUGAAGACCGGGUUCAGCAGAGACGACGCGUUUUGUGACGGUACCUUCAGAAGAAGCACCGGCUAACUACGUG